GAUGAACGCUAGCGAUAGGCUUAACACAUGCAAGUCGAGGGGCAGCACAAGGUAGCUUGCUAUCUGGGUGGCGACCGGCGCACGGGUGCGUAACGCGUAUGCAACUUGCCCUAUACAGGAGGAUAACCCGUCGAAAGACGGACUAAUACUGCGUAUGCUCACAACUUGGCAUCAAGUGGUGAGGAAAGAAAUUCGGUAUAGGAUAGGCAUGCGUCCCAUUAGCUUGUUGGUGAGGUAACGGCUCACCAAGGCAACGAUGGGUAGGGGAACUGAGAGGUUUAUCCCCCACACUGGUACUGAGACACGGACCAGACUCCUACGGGAGGCAGCAGUGAGGAAUAGUGGUCAAUGGGCGCGAGCCUGAACCAGCCAAGUCGCGUGAAGGAUGACUGUCUUAUGGAUUGUAAACUUCUUUUAUACGGGAAUAACAAGAGUCACGUGUGACUCCCUGCAUGAACCGUAUGAAUAAGCAUCGGCUAACUCCGU
This 486-nucleotide ribosomal RNA is filed under the name uncultured bacterium. RNAcentral's name for it is "partial 16S ribosomal RNA". It matches the Rfam family "Bacterial small subunit ribosomal RNA", at positions 28 to 506 of the family's 1533-position model. The record is from RNAcentral.